Molecule: ribosomal RNA, 495 nt
Filed under: Stenotrophomonas sp.
Lineage: Bacteria; Pseudomonadati; Pseudomonadota; Gammaproteobacteria; Lysobacterales; Lysobacteraceae
Description: bacterial SSU rRNA
Rfam family: Bacterial small subunit ribosomal RNA
Source: RNAcentral
GGCGGUAGGCCUAACACAUGCAAGUCGAACGGCAGCACAGAGGAGCUUGCUCCUUGGGUGGCGAGUGGCGGACGGGUGAGGAAUACAUCGGAAUCUACUUUUUCGUGGGGGAUAACGUAGGGAAACUUACGCUAAUANNNCAUACGACCUACGGGUGAAAGCAGGGGAUCUUCGGACCUUGCGCNAUUGAAUGAGCCGAUGUCGGAUUAGCUAGUUGGCGGGGUAAAGGCCCACCAAGGGGACGAUCCAAGGCGACNNUCCGUAGCUGGUCUGAGAGGAUGAUCAGCCACACUGGAACUGAGACACGGUCCNGACUCCUACGGGAGGCAGCAGUGGGGAAUAUUGGACAAUGGGCGCAAGCCUGAUCCAGCCAUACCGCGUGGGUGAAGAAGGCCUUCGGGUUGUAAAGCCCUUUUGUUGGGAAAGAAAUCCAGCCGGCUAAUACCUGGUUGGGAUGACGGUACCCAAAGAAUAAGCACCGGCUAANUUCGUGCC